This is a long non-coding RNA of Brassica rapa (field mustard), 320 nucleotides long. RefSeq lists it as uncharacterized. NCBI's taxonomy places the organism in Eukaryota, Viridiplantae, Streptophyta, Magnoliopsida, Brassicales, Brassicaceae. The record is from RefSeq and is a predicted model, not a curated record.
GAGGAUCAGCUGAGGCCAUCUAAUCCUUUGGUUCAUCUUGGUCAGAGGUAGAGUAAAGCUUGAAGUAUCCAGUCCUGUCCAUUCAGCCUUGUUCAAGUGGAACUCAAGUCUUGUCCAAGCCAGUUUCAAGACUAAUCUUUAGGUGAGUCUAGAGAGAAGAUGAGAUAGAUCAUGAAUGUGUACAUGAUUGAGUUUAAAUUGUAGUAUCUCAAUUAGAUAGUAAAGUCUUUGAAUCCUUUAAGAAGUGUAUGGGUUUACUCAGUGUAAACACUUACACUUAAAGAUUAAUCAAAAGGUUAAAGUGAGGUUAAUCAUAAUCA